RNAcentral lists this ribosomal RNA (171 nucleotides) under Alphaproteobacteria bacterium. RNAcentral's name for it is "partial 16S ribosomal RNA". It matches the Rfam family "Bacterial small subunit ribosomal RNA", at positions 1 to 184 of the family's 1533-position model. Lineage: Bacteria; Pseudomonadati; Pseudomonadota; Alphaproteobacteria. The record is from RNAcentral.
UAACCUAAGAGUUUGAUCCUGGCUCAGAACGAACGCUGGCGGCAUGCCUAACACAUGCAAGUCGAACGCUAUCUUUGAUAGAGUGGCGCACGGGUGAGUAACGCGUGGGAACCUGCCUUUUUCUGUGGGAUAACGGUUGGAAACGACCGCUAAUACCGCAUACGCCCUACG